This 429-nucleotide ribosomal RNA is filed under the name Pseudomonadota bacterium. Its description in RNAcentral is "Proteobacteria bacterium partial 16S ribosomal RNA". It matches the Rfam family "Bacterial small subunit ribosomal RNA", at positions 355 to 776 of the family's 1533-position model. Lineage: Bacteria; Pseudomonadati; Pseudomonadota. The record is from RNAcentral.
UGGGGAAUAUUGGACAAUGGGCGAAAGCCUGAUCCAGCCAUGCCGCGUGUGUGAAGAAGGUCUUCGGAUUGUAAAGCACUUUAAGUUGGGAGGAAGGGCAGUAAGCGAAUACCUUGCUGUUUUGACGUUACCGACAGAAUAAGCACCGGCUAACUCUGUGCCAGCAGCCGCGGUAAUACAGAGGGUGCAAGCGUUAAUCGGAAUUACUGGGCGUAAAGCGCGCGUAGGUGGUUCGUUAAGUUGAAUGUGAAAGCCCCGGGCUCAACCUGGGAACUGCAUCCAAAACUGGCGAGCUGGAGUAGGGCAGAGGGUGGUGGAAUUUCCUGUGUAGCGGUGAAAUGAGUAGAUAUAGGAAGGAACACCAGUGGCGAAGGCGACCACCUGGGCUCAUACUGACACUGAGGUGCGAAAGCGUGGGGAGCAAACAGG